UGUUAACGUUAACAAUUGCUAUUCAUCAAUAUGGCGGGAAUCAAACUCUUGACAAUUCUGCUAUUUCGCCAGCUGAAGAAGCAAGAGUAAAAUUAUUAAAUUUCAUGAGCAAUGCAAAGCACAAUGCCAUCGACGAUAUUGUUCCUGAUGAGGAUAGUCCGGAAUUUCAAUUGUUAAUCGAGAAACUUUCAUCCAGUGGAUUUGAUCCCAAUAAUCAGGAUUUAUUCCUCAAUCAAGAACCACAAUCAGCAGAACGCAUCAAGAACUGGGUACAUAAAAUUAAAGAUGAAGCUGAAAAGGGUAAAAAAAACAGUACAUGACCGGCCUAAUCCGUAUUAUCUUCCUGGGUUUUUUAAACAACUGAUUAACUUAAGUGCGGAAUUUCCUAUUUGGACAGCAGUUAUGAAGAAAAACUUUAAUUCCAAAUAUAUCAGGGCCUCAUCUUGUCAUGUCGAAGGAGACUUUAAUCAAUUAAAAAACAAUAUUCUCAAACACGUUCGCGGUGCUUUGCGAGUUGAUAAAUUCUUUAAAAUUCAUCACGAAGCAUUAAAGGCUCAAUGUUUACUGGGAUCAGCUAAAAUUACCGAAGCUCGAAUGCUACCACCGAAUAUUGUUACGAACCCUCGAUAAAAACUGCACAAAUAUGAACAAACUGAACAGGAGCAACAACAUCAGCAGUUUUAUUCAAAUUCAUGUGACGAUCUUCCUUCUUUUAAUGAAAAUGAUCAUCACUCACCAAAUAUGCAGAGCAGUAAACUUUCUACAUUUUCUAAUGUAGACCGCACGAACGAAACUCAUGAAAAGUCAAAUUUAAACGACAAAACUAUUGUAAAAUCUCCAGUUGAAGAAAGUGUAUUUACUGAAAUGAAUUUGGUAAAAGCUGAUUUAUAUGAAACGAAAAAUUGGAGGAAUAAAGUAAAAAAAGAUGACUUUAUCGUUUCUUCCUCUCCGCAAAAUGGAUUUGAAAAUGAUUUGAAAAAAGAAGGAAAUACAAAGAAACGGCCACUUAAAGUCGAAGACAGGAAAUCUUCAAAAUAUUUUAAACAAUUUCCGGAAAUUAAAUUGCAUCACAACAUUGCCUCGACAGUGAAUACGAAAUUUACAAGCUCGUCAAAAUAUUGGCUACUUAUCAAUGGUAACCGUUUUUCAAAACCAUUAGUAAUUGGUUAUCAAAAAUAUAUGAUCAGAAAUACAUGUCAAUACGAUGCAUACGUUCAAAUUUUAUUGACAGGAGCAAUAGAAAAUCCAGAGUACUUAAUGUAUAUUAAAACUUCGAAGAACAGUACUUGUAAAUUUAUUGAACAAUUGCUUACCUCAGGAUCAGACGUAAUUAAAAAUCCAUCCAUUUACAAAGAAAGAUGUUUAAUUUUAAAAGAUUUUCCUAGACGUUAUAAUAAGGAAAAUAAUAAUGACGAUAUCGAAUCACCUAAAAUUUUAAAAGUGAUUGAUGUUUACUCUAAUGUAGCGGAUAUGUGGGAGUAUACAAUGAAAGGUGAGCCAAGUGCAUUUAGGAUGAGGAAUUGCAAGUGUGGAUUUUCCAACAUAGAGGAAGUGUCGUACUUUUAUUUAAAUCCGAAAGAAAUUUCUACAAAUGGAUUUAGAGGACUUCAGGAAGCCGUUACUGAUAAAUGGGGAAACGCAAAUGUGCAAAGUUGUGAAUGUGGUCAAAAGCCCUUUGAAACCUUAAAACUUAAUGCGCACAUAUUUAUAGACGGAGAUGUGAGAACAAUUGACGGAAAAGCAACACCUCAGAAAUGCAAACCUUCAGAUGUUCCUCGCUACAUUACAUUAUACGGCGACAAAUUAACAUUAGCAGGCAUCGUACUAUACAACGGAACAAAUCAUUACACUGCUCUUUGCACUAGAAAAACAACAAAAUGGGAAAUCUAUGAUGACUUGUCGACAAAGGUCAUUUCUGCACAUAAUCAAGAGAUACAACCAGGAGGAAUUAUUUACCUGAAAGUGAAUUAAUAAAAUAUAUUAUGCUAUAAACUAAAUUCAAAAUGGGUUCGCUCGAAAAUAUGCCAACAUAUGCUGUCCUACAGUUUGAGGAUGGGUUAGAAGUCAUUCGAACUCAAUGGGGAAUUUUUGAGAACAACAAAAUAGUGGCCUCUUAUUUUCCACCUACACAAUCAGCUAGAGAAAUCGGGGACUAUUUACAAAUGGACUUUAAUAUUGACUGUUUUGAUAAAUUUUCCUGGUCCAAUGAAAAUGGUUAACCAUGGACUAUCAUAAAGUUUUAUUUUUAUGCAAAAAGCAUGAUCUAUAAGAAUGAAGAGGAAUCAAUGGAUCCUAAUAAUGAUGUUUCAAUGGAUCCUAAUAAUGAUGUUUUACCAGCUGCAGAAACAUUAUUUGAAGAACAGGCAAUCGCAGGAAACAAUCCCAGAAGUUCUGCACAUGCUUCUAAUGAACAUGCUUCUACAUAAAAAGGUCGCUACUAUUAUUGUGAAAAAACUCAAUAAAGUUGAAAUGAUUCUACAAAAUAAUAGUAAAAACCCAAAUCCUCAGGCUUCUACUUCUCAACUUUCGACAUCACAACCAAAUUUUGACAAUAAGGAUGAUGAUUUGAGGCUAUUUCCAGCUCAGAAUUACAAUGAUAUUGAAAUAAUUGAAAACAAAUUACGCAACAGUAACUUCUACUCAAAAGUGAGGCUAUGCAAAAUCUGCAUUCAGAAAUUACAAUGAAAGAGAUUAAAACUAUUCUGAGAAAUUGGAUGUAUCAGUGCAAAAAUCGACAAAACCGAUACGAACAGGACCAGCAAAGGCGCAUACAACAAGAAAAAGCCAUGAU
RNA transcript from Leptopilina boulardi, 2791 nucleotides. RefSeq lists it as uncharacterized. The transcript is spliced from 7 exons. Lineage: Eukaryota; Metazoa; Arthropoda; Insecta; Hymenoptera; Figitidae. The record is from RefSeq and is a predicted model, not a curated record.